Molecule: ribosomal RNA, 468 nt
Filed under: uncultured bacterium
Lineage: Bacteria
Description: partial 16S ribosomal RNA
Rfam family: Bacterial small subunit ribosomal RNA
Source: RNAcentral
GACGAACGCUGGCGGCGUGCUUAACACAUGCCAGUCGAACGGAAAGGCCCUGCUUGUGGGGUGUGCUCGAGUGGCGCACGUGUGUGUAACACGGGAGUAACCUGCCCUUGACUUUGGGAUAACUUCAGGACACUGGGGCUUAUACCGGAUAGGCACGCCUGCGGCAUGGUGGGGGUUGGAUAGGUUCGGUUGGUGGGUAUGGACUCGCGGCUUAUCAGCUUGUUGGGGGGGUAGUGGUUUACCAAGGCUUUGACGGGUAGGCGGCCUGAGAGGGUGAGCGACCAUAUUGGGACUGAGAGACGCCGCAGCCUACUACGGGAGGCAGUAGUGGAGAUUGUUCCACGGUGGGAGGACGCCUGAUGCAGCGACGCCGCGUGCGGGAUGACGGCCUUCUUGUUGUAACCCGCCUUCGACUGUGACGAAGCGUGAGUGACGGUAAUGGGAAAAGAAGCACCGGCUAACUACGUG